UGGAUUGAGAGUAGAUUAAUCUCUAGUAUGAUGCAUUCAAUCUUUUUAAUUAUUACUUCUUCUACUUAACUCGUUCUUCUACUAAUACGUUUUUCUUUUUAGAAAUAAAAAUGCCAUUUAUGUCUGCCUGUCACCACAUAGAAAGCUUUCCGAAAGACACAAUUCCUUGUUUCAAGAAGUUUUAUCGAUCAUCUGCAUUUCUUCACGUGAAUAACAAACGAAGGCACGCUACACUACUGCAAAUAAGUAUUUACAGAUAUCAAAGAAAGCGGUGAAAAGAAUGAAGUUUUUGAUCCUUGAGGUGUCCUUAUGCGCGUCUCUCCUCUAGGAAAUGCUGGAAUGAAGUGCAUCUAACGGGUGAACCUAUGGUACUGCAUCAUAAAAGCGGAAGAAGGAGGUGAAAUCAACUUGCCGACUGUUUAGCUGUGGUAAAAGCUAUCAAAUCCAUGAAUCCAGGAACCUAUUCAAUUCUCAAGAACAUCUCUGUCAUAAUGUGGUCGGACCCGUUCACCAAGGAAGGCACAUAGAAGACUGGCUUAUGAUGGCGAAAGACUUUUGAAGGCGGUUACCUUGAUUGGGAUCAUAUCUAUUAAACCUUCGAAUCCUGCACUCAAAAGUAAAUGUGAUACCAUUCAAAUGGAAUAAGAUUGAUUUGAAUUGGAAUUUGUUAUUCCUGUAUCAUAGUGCAUUUUUCUACUAGUUACCCUACGUAUUGUACAUUAUUGUAAUAAAGCACUAGC
Long non-coding RNA from Nilaparvata lugens (brown planthopper), 740 nucleotides. RefSeq lists it as uncharacterized. The transcript has 4 exons. The record is from RefSeq and is a predicted model, not a curated record. NCBI's taxonomy places the organism in Eukaryota, Metazoa, Arthropoda, Insecta, Hemiptera, Delphacidae.